GGACAGAGACAAACUGGGGACAAACGAGAGACACAAGAGAGGGGAACACAGCAGGAAAAAAUGGGAGAGAGGGAGAGGCACAGCAUAACCGUGACAUGUUUACUAUAUCUUGAUAUUGUUUCUGUGCUUUGCCUGUUUUCAAACGCUUAAAAGCAUUGUGUUUUUCCAUGUCAAAAGAAUAGUGAUUCACAAUGUAACAAAACAGGUAUUUUUAGUCUGUACCACCAGUUAGCUACAGAGACUACAGAACACAAGACUAAGCCAAGAGCAACUGCAAUUGUUUUGAAACCUGCCAAGCCUGAUGAGCGCACUGUGAUUGUUUCUUCUUUGAAAGCACACAGAAAGUUUGUAUCCCACCAUUCUUCAUAGCCUGGGAUAACAGCAGCCCCACUGCUUCCUUAAGGUGUCGAGAUAAUACUGCAAAAACUGCCUGGAGGGAUCUGGCUGUAUCAAGACAGCAGCGGAGAAGAAAAGAGUCUAUAAUUUGUUGAAAGCAGCCUCAGCUUCAGGGGGCCAAGAGGGAGGAAUGGAAGAGGAGGUCCAUCUUCACCUGUCCGCCCUCGAUGAUGUUCUCAUCGUGCUGGAAUGGAUUUCACAGUUCUCUGCUUUAACAAACAACUUAUUCUCAAGGAGUCCUUGUAGAACCUAACAGCCAUGAGAGACGUGUUCAGACUGGGUUUUGGAGAAGAAGAGAAUGUCAUCAGGAUAGACAAAGACAAAAUGAUUGAGAAAGUCUCUUAACACAUCAUUCAUCAUAGCCUGGAAGCUGGGUCAGUAGUGUGGGACUCUCCAGGAAGAGGUGGAGCUGGAGCUGUGGCAGGUCGAUUGGUCCGAGGAGGCUGAACUUUGGAGACUGAGGGAGUGGGCAGAGGCCGUCACAGAACCUCAGCUGCCCAGCCGCACAGAGCCUCAGCUGCCCAGCACUACAGAGGCUUCGCUGUCUACUGCCACGAUCAACGUUCCCCCAGCCAGACCCUGAGUUGUCCUGUCUGUUCCUGAGUCUGUUCCUGAGUCAGACAUCCCUUCCGACAUCCUGUCUGUUCCUGAGUCGAGGGUCCCAGCCGACACCAAGCCUGUUCCUGAGUUUGCCGGCGGCAACCCAGUGGACAUCUGUUCCUGGUUGUCAGCCUGGCCAACAUCUGUUCCUGGUUUUCAGUUGGCGGUCCAGCUGACAUCUGUUUCUGGUUUCUAGUGAGAAACGCCUUCGCCUGUCUGCCUGGCCUCUGGACCCUCCUCCUAAGUACUGCUGCCUGUCUGUCAGGCCUUCAGGCCCUACGCCUGACGUCCCCUGCUCCAUUCUUGGCCUGCCCCAUGGGCAGUCUCCUGCUACAGGUCAUGAAAUUGCCUCACAGUUUAUAACAAGCUUGGACACUGGUCAGAACUAAUGAUAAUAAUCAAUAUUUUUCCAUUAACAGUAAUUAUUAUAAUAUAGCUAGUGUAUGCAAAAUGUAAAAACUUUGGAAAAGUCUAAGAUGAUGACAGUAACAAACUGACUCAUUAAUAGGUUAUUUAAAAAAAACUCUUCACACAUGCCAAAUAUAUAAUUUUAACCAUUUUUUAAGUCAAAGACUGUAUUAUCACAAUGAUUAAUCUGAAAAUUGACAAAUAAAACAAUAUAAUAAACUUAGGCACCGCAGAAUGUUUGGCGUUUUGCUUGACAGUGACUUAAUAGAUUAUCAAAAUUGGUGACAGUUAUUUUGUUAAUUAUCAAUUGACUGUUAAUUGUUUCUGCACUAAUAUUCUGUAUAUGUUUAUGGAUACUCUAUGUAGUGUAUAUUUACUGUAAAUUCCAUUUACUCUACAUUUGUUUUAUAUAUUAUCUAUUCGGGCAUGCCUGUUUGGAUUUUGUCUGUUUAAUUACUCAGAAUCCAGCUGUGUUUUUCAAUAGAAUAUCUUGAAAGCAUCACUGUAACUGUCGUCAAUUCAUAGGGUUAAUGAUAGUUAUAUAAAAUAAAAUAAUCAGACAUUUAUAUUCAUAUGAUCAGCUGUAGUCCUACACAUCUGUACAAUAAACUUCCAUUCUUGUGCCUUACUAUAGGCCUAUCAUAAGUAAGACUAUUAUAAUAUUUGGACAUUAGUAUUUGCAUAAUUAUUUAAAGGGUACAGAAAGUGCUCCGAUUUACAUAUCGGAGCACUUUCAUAUAGCAUAUGGAACUGAAACUGAUCGGCUUUGACUUGAAUGGCUCACAGUGCAUGUUCUGUAGUAAGCAGCACUCAUGCUGAAAUAAACUCAGGAAAUUAGCGUUAUAACCUUGGAUACACAGUAUACAUCCACGGUAAUAACACAGUAUCCAUUGGUUAUAUCACACAAAAUAAAAAUAGACUAACGUAUUAUACCAAUGCCACCUAUCUGAUGAGCAUGGAAGUCCAUUCGUGGCUUUGGCAACAGUAUGAGUUACAAAAUAAUUCUAAAUCCUCCCCACACUAUAGGUCACAGGUCACAUAAGGUUACAGGUCACAUCAGAGCCAGUUCCAUUUGUUGAUGAGGACCAUGAGACAUUGAUAAAGACUGAAAAAGCUCGAUCUAUGUGUAGAUCUGUGAGUUUGGAUGAUUUUGUCACACAUGAUGCUUAGUGUCACAGAGGUGUUGAUUUCUAUGUUUGAAGUGUUGGUGUUUUUUGGUCAAAAUAGCAGUUGAAAGUUCCAAAAAACUAGUAA
This is a long non-coding RNA of Xiphias gladius (swordfish), 2658 nucleotides long. RefSeq lists it as uncharacterized. The record is from RefSeq and is a predicted model, not a curated record. The transcript has 7 exons. NCBI's taxonomy places the organism in Eukaryota, Metazoa, Chordata, Actinopteri, Istiophoriformes, Xiphiidae.